Molecule: ribosomal RNA, 383 nt
Filed under: uncultured eukaryote
Lineage: Eukaryota
Description: partial 18S ribosomal RNA
Rfam family: Eukaryotic small subunit ribosomal RNA
Source: RNAcentral
CAAUAGCGUAUAUUAAAGUUGUUGCAGUUAAAAAGCUCGUAGUUGGAUUUCUGGUGGGAGCGAUCGGUCUGGCGCUUAGCGCGAGUACUUGCAUCGUCUCCGGCCAUCCUUGGGGAGAGUCUGUCUGGCAUUAGGUUGUCGGGCAGAGGAUCCUCAUCGUUUACUGUGAAAAAAUUAGAGUGUUCAAAGCAGGCUUAUGCCGUUGAAUAUAUUAGCAUGGAAUAAUAAGAUAGGACUUUGGUACUAUUUUGUUGGUUUGCACACCAAAGUAAUGAUUAAUAGGGACAGUUGGGGGUAUUCGUAUUCCGUUGUCAGAGGUGAAAUUCUUGGAUUUACGGAAGACGAACUACUGCGAAAGCAUUUACCAAGGAUGUUUUCAUUAA